Molecule: ribosomal RNA, 293 nt
Filed under: uncultured bacterium
Lineage: Bacteria
Description: partial 16S ribosomal RNA
Rfam family: Bacterial small subunit ribosomal RNA
Source: RNAcentral
ACUCCUACGGGAGGCAGCAGUGGGGAAUAUUGCACAAUGGGCGCAGCUGAUGCAGCCAUGCCGCGUGUGUNAAGAAGGCCUUCGGGUUGUAAAGCACUUUCAGUCGUGAGGAAGGUAGUGUAGUUAAUAGCUGUAUUAUUUGACGUUAGCGACAGAAGAACACGGCUAACUCCGUGCCAGCAGCCGCGGUAAUACGGAGGGUGCGAGCGUUAAUCGGAAUUACUGGGCGUAAAGCGCAUGCAGGUGGUUUGUUAAGUCAGAUGUGAAAGCCCGGGGCUCAACCUCGGAAUUGC